RNAcentral lists this ribosomal RNA (274 nucleotides) under uncultured bacterium. RNAcentral describes it as "partial 16S ribosomal RNA". It matches the Rfam family "Bacterial small subunit ribosomal RNA", at positions 523 to 796 of the family's 1533-position model. The record is from RNAcentral.
AUACGGAGGGUGCAAGCGUUACUCGGAAUUACUGGGCGUAAAGGACGCGUAGGCGGUUUAGAAAGUCAGAUGUGAAAGCCUAUGGCUUAACCAUAGAACUGCAUCUGAAACUCCUAGACUAGAGUGAGGGAGAGGUCAGUGGAAUUAGUGGUGUAGGGGUAAAAUCCGUAGAGAUCUCUAGGAAUACUCAUAGCGAAGGCGACUGACUGGAACUUUACUGACGCUGAGGCGUGAAAGCGUGGGGAGCAAACAGGAUUAGAAACCCCAGUAGUCC